This 182-nucleotide non-coding RNA is filed under the name Candidatus Desulfofervidaceae bacterium. Its description in RNAcentral is "6S RNA". It matches the Rfam family "6S / SsrS RNA". Rfam says of the family: E. coli 6S RNA was the first non coding RNA to be sequenced, but its function was unknown until recently. The record is from RNAcentral. Lineage: Bacteria; Pseudomonadati; Thermodesulfobacteriota; Candidatus Desulfofervidia; Candidatus Desulfofervidales; Candidatus Desulfofervidaceae.
AAUUCCCUGCGGUGUGCGUGAUCAGUAGACUAUUUUGGGCCGACAUUGAAAACCUUGGGAACUCCCUCUUGUUCUGGACGGCAUGUUUGCCUUCGGGCAAAAGACCGGAAGGAAUAACGGAGUACCCACCUGUCGGGAGACAGGUUCAAAAGCGUCUGCUGACACGACACUGCGGGGCUAAA